RNAcentral lists this long non-coding RNA (3135 nucleotides) under Phoenix dactylifera (date palm). Its description in RNAcentral is "long non-coding RNA (PDAC_LNC005903)". Lineage: Eukaryota; Viridiplantae; Streptophyta; Magnoliopsida; Arecales; Arecaceae. The record is from RNAcentral.
UCGUUAUUGUAUCGGGAAUUGCUGAAUUAGUAACCUUAGUAUUUAAGAGGCUUGUAGUCUUGCACUGAUUUCGAGCAAACUGGAUAUUUUUGCCCUUCAAAUUUAUUCUUUCUCCAAUAAAAUAAUUAUAUAUCCAAAGGAAAAACAAUUUGUUGAUCAUAUGUCACUGACGUGCAAGCUCCUACUAACAUACAAGGAAGCCUUCCAAUACAUUGCAGCUGAAGAUGACUAAGAUGUAUAUCAGCCACAACUAUCAAAAUUUUAUUACCAAGAUAGUCUUUUCAUAAUCAACUCCCAUGAUAUUCUAAUUGUAACGACUGUUCAUAAAUUUAUGAUUUUUGCAUCUACUUACUCUGUUCUACUUAAAUGCAAUCCUACCUGAGACCUAAGACUCAAUCUCCAUAGUUUAUGUUUUACAUAAGAUCCAGUGGACUUCUAGAUUUCUUAGAUCAAUCUAAUCUAAUAAUCCUACCUAUCCAUCUUAAGUUGGCUUUUAUUUGGAGAGCUUGUGCCUUGCUUGAGGUGUUCGUCCUUGAAGUGUAGAUCCACAAGAAGAAAUAAUUAGAGAACCUAAAUAAAUAAGUCCGCACACAUGUGCACACGCACACACAUGCGCAUAGCCACACACAGAUACGCAAAAAAAAAAGGAUGAAUUAGUGAUCAGAGAAAGGAGAUUGACUAAUUGGAGGUUAGGGAGAAAGGAGAACUGUUGAGAGAGGCCAUUGAGUUUAGAUUCUAGGAUUAAAGGAUUGGGAUAAUUGUCUAAUGAACACAGCCUAUAUUUGGAAAAGAGUAUUGGGUGGGUGAAACUAUAUGGGGCAAAAUAGAGAAUGCAUUUAACACUAGAGAGUUGAGAAAGUGUCAACUGGUUGUGGGCAUUGCUUUGAAUCAAGACAAUGUGGUUAUUUGAAUUUUUUUUUCAACAUGAGGAAGUAAUCCUUGUGAUGUAAGACAUCAAAGAGCUUGAUAGAUAGACUUUAUAGUGAAAAAAUGAAAGGGAGUAUAUUAGAUGAGAGUGCUUGAAAAUGAGAAUUGAAUGAGAUUUCUCCAUUACUUCAUUUAAGUUGCUUCAUGCUAGUGCUAUAUGGUCUAAAUUCACCAUGGCUUAGUAAAACCAAUUCAUGCUGUAGACUGAUGCAAUAUUCACUUUGGUAAACAAUCCAGAUGUUUGUUUUGUGUUGUUUGUUUUGCUAAUAUAUUUUCACAUGUUCUUUAGGGUUCCUUACAUGCAGUAAUCAUUUCCUAGUUUCUAUAUACUUUGACUAGAAAUAAAUUAGUUAGUGAGUUUUAAAGAGUCGCUCUCUGAGUACAAAAGAACAUUUUUUGCAUCCUGAGUCCGAUCAUGCCAACUAAUUUGUUCAAGUGACAUUGAACCACUUCUAUGAUAAAAAGGACAUCAUAUGCAAAAAAAUUGGUUGACGGCCUGCCAUAGAACUUUACAAAAAUGCUCUUUAAACCUACAUCCUCUUUUAUGUAUGCAAUUGAAUAUUAGAAUUUCAGUGUGAGCAUUGUCAAUGUUAGGGAAAUUCAAAAAUGCAUUAAAGAAAUAAUAUUCAUAGCUACAAUGUGAAAUAUCAGGUUAUAAUGAGAGAAAUCUAUCGAUUAUCCUGUUUUUUAAAUUCUAAGUUAAACUUAGUUUAUCUUCACUCAAAAUCUCUCUUUUUUUCAUUUUUGAAUGAAAUCAGCAAAAGUUGAAGAGAGCCAACCACCAUAAUUAUGGUUUGCAUCAUUUUACCUUUGCUCUUACAUUCUUAAAAAUGGUUAGCUAAGAAGUAAGAAUGGUGCAGCAUUUUUAUCCGUUAACAUGAAAAGAAAAUGAAUUUGGUUAUGUCAUUACCCAGCAUCUGCUUUGUUUUUUAUUUUAAUCAAGAAUCUUGUUGGAAGGAAGAAUUAUAUUUAUAGCAAUGUAGACUCUUGUUUGAAAAUAAAAUCGGCGUUAUUGUAUCGGGAAUUGCUGAAUUAGUGACCUUAGUAUUUAAGAGGCUUGUAGUCUUGCACUGAUUUCAAGCAAACUGGAUAUUUUUGCCCUUCAAAUUUAUUCUUUCUCCAAUAACAUAAUUAUAUAUCCAAAAGAAAAACAAUUUGUUGAUCAUAUGUCACUGACGUCCAAGCUCCUACUAGCAUACAAGGAAGCCUUCCAAUACAUUGCAGCUGAAGAUGACUAAGAUGUAUAUCAGCCACAACUAUCAAAUUUUUAUUACCAAGAUAGUCUUUUCAUAAUCAACUCCCAUGAUAUUCUAAUUGUAACGACUGUUCAUAAAUUUAUGAUUUUUUAAUGAAAUUUAUUUGCUGUAGAUCGAUUUCUUACAAACAGUUUUUUAAAACCCUCAGUCAAAAUAAAUCAAAAUAAAAUAUGAAAAUAUGGAACUUCCUAAAAGGUUUUGUUUGGGGGGGGGGAUUAUAUACAUGGGUUGUUCAUUUCCAUCCACUCUUUUUGCAUCUACUUACUCUGUUCUACUUAAAUGCAAUCCUACCUGAGACCUAAGACUCAAUCUCCAUAGUUUAUGUUUUACAUAAGAUCCAGUGGACUUCUAGAUUUCUUAGAUCAAUCUAAUCUAAUAAUCCUACCUAUCCAUCUUAAGUUGGCUUUUAUUUGGGGAGCUUGUGCCUUGCUUGAGGUGUUCGUCCUUGAAGUGUAGAUCCACAAGAAGAAAUAAUUAGAGAACCUAAAUAAAUAAGUCCGCACACAUGUGCACACGCACACACAUGCGCAUAGCCACACACAGAUACAAAAAAAAAAGGAUGAAUUAGUGAUCAGAGAGAUAAGUUCCCUGAACUGCUAUUUGGAUAGCCCUUUUUACAGAAAGAAAACUAUAACCUUGACCUUGGCCAACAAAAAUUCUCCCAAUUAUAUGGGUUGCCUUUAUGGAUCAAGGCCUGAUCUACUACUACUAAAAGUUUAUGACCAACUUUGAACUUGAUACUAAUUUCCUACGAGGAUUUGUACCAGUUUCCCUGCUAAGAGAACCUGGGCAAAAAGGGAACUGACAGCUAAACUUGAAAGGCUAGCCGGCAUGUCAAGAGACCUAGCUUAUUAUUUCAGCAGUCAAGCUCAUGUAACGGCGCAGCAACCCUUCAAAUUUCAAUGUAUGAGAGGAAAGAAGGCAAGGUCAAUUAUGGGGUGCCACAUCCAUC